RNAcentral lists this long non-coding RNA (4833 nucleotides) under Theobroma cacao (cacao). RNAcentral describes it as "long non-coding RNA (TCAC_LNC005083)". The record is from RNAcentral. Lineage: Eukaryota; Viridiplantae; Streptophyta; Magnoliopsida; Malvales; Malvaceae.
UGAAAUUGUGGAACACAUAUUAGAAUUCUCUAUAAAUACAAACAAGGAGAUAAUAUGGUUUUCACAUGUUUAUGGGUGUGGCUGUGGCUCUGCUAUUUUGCUGAAAGUCUGAGUACACAUAUUGUUGCCUGGUGUUAUGAUGAAACCCCACCUCUGCGUACCCCAAAACAUUUAUAGAAUAUGAAAACCAAUAUGGAAUGAAAUUUAUGCAGCGAAUUUAUGAAUGUGGUCAAAGAAUCUUUUUUCAGAUAUCACCUAGUGUUUUUUGUGCAUGAACAACUCCUUACUACAUCACAGUAAAGCUAUUUCUGCCUGCUGCAAUAGAAGUUCUUGUCCUAGUAUUAUAUUAGAUAAUUGAGAUAUAGCUAUAAAUAGUUGUCUAAUGUUGCUCUUGUUGGUUUUUUAGACAAUAAGUAGCUUGGAUGUAUAUGCAUGUUGAUUAUUGUAUUUGAUUAAAACUGGAUUUUAAAGAAUAAAUACAAGCUCCAAUUGCUUUAAUUUAAUUUCACUUUCAUUGGCAAGUCUCAUCUUUAGUUUAAAUUUGUUGGGCUUUACAGGUGGAAGUUGUGAAAUCCUUUAACGACCCAGAUGGACCACAGUGGAGACAUUCACUUUUUGGAAAUCCAAAUGAUCUAGAAACCUUCAGGUUAUUGUCAUUUUGAAUUAUGGCUAGGCAUCAGAGUAAUAAAAAGAUUUUUAUGGUCUUUCUACUUUUUGGAAUAGUUGGUCAACAACCAGGACACCGUGAUUGGAUGCUGAUGUAAUUAGGACACCAAUAAUAUAUUUUUAAUUAGGAAGCUAAUCAGAAUUACUGAAGGAUAUUAGUAGAAGCCCAAUCUUACUAGUUCAAGCCGUUGAGCAACCCAGUGGGCUAACAUAUGGCUCAAGCCCAUCGUGAAACAUGGAUCUUAUCUAACUCUACCCACUCGACUUCAUCUGAGCCGUUACCUUGUUUUUCUCAUAAGAUAUGAUGAGAAAAUACAGCUAGUUUAAAUAUCUCCAGAUCAUCACUGUAUAUUAAUUGAAGCUUUAUUUAGCAUUCUGUUGUAGAAAGUUCAACUCAAAAAAUAAUGCAUAAAGAGAAGAGGCCUUUAUAAUCUUUAUUAUGAUUUGGGUAAAAAUUCAAUAUAAUAUUUAGCAAUCCAGGGUUUGCUAACAGUUGUGGAACACCAGUUGUCAACAUUUAAUGCUGAAGUAUUUUUAUUAAAUUCUCCAUGCAUCUACAUGAGGAUGGUGUACCAUGCAUAGAAUGGAAUACUCUUACACUUCAGACUAUUUCACUUUGUGUGUUUUGAUACAUUGUUAGUGGAGCACACUUAAAAAAUUAAUGAAAAUGAGAAUGAGAAUUGACUGGCUUGUUGUGCUUGGUGCUUUUCAGGAGGAGGUGCGAGAUUGCAGAAACUCUUGUUGAGAGGAACUUUGAUUUGGCAUUUCAAGUGAUAUAUGAAUUUAAUCUUCCAGGUGGUGACAUAUUGGUUUCCUUUCUGUUAAGUUCUUAAAGUUUUAAGUUAAUGCAGCUGUGCUUUUAACAUUUGAAGUUUUCUCCACGCCUUGCAGCUGUUGAUAUAUAUGCUGGUGUGGCUUCAUCACUUGCUGAAAGAAAAAGGGGCAGCCAGUUGACUGAAUUUUUUAGAAACAUAAAAGGAACAAUUGAUGAUGAUGAUUGGGAUCAGGUAACGUACUUUCUUUUGAUAUGGUAUGGUCAAUAUAUUGGUACUUACUAGAGGGUAUGUGAUAGUUCGAGUGGUUCUUACCUAAAGAAAGUUUUUAAUGGAAUAUAGUAUUAGACAUUGUUAAGGUAUAUUUUGAUAGUUCGAGUGGUUCUUAACCAAAAGAAAUUUUUUAAUGGAAUAAAAUAUUAGACAUUGUUAAGUUAGAUGCAAUGAGCCGCAAAAAUAAAGAACUCAGUGCACAGACACGAAUGGCACCUAAUAUAAUUACAAAUCAAAGGCACAAAAGUGCAUUCAAUUGACUCUGAGGAAUAAAUUUUCUUUCUGUUACCAAUUAACGUGUACUUAUGCUCUAAAGUGAAACUUUAUAUAAAAAGGUUCCACUAGCAACUCCUGGUCUAAAAGAUCCUUAGACUACUAGCUUUGACUGAAUAUACUUUAUAUGGUCCAAAAUAGUAAACAAACUUGACAAGGUGUAAAAGCUGCUUUGAUUAUUAGUAUUCUUGAUUCAUUAAAAUAUAGAGGUGUUAUAAGCACGGUUGCCUGUUUAGCUUCUUCAUCUUAUUUCAGCUUAUUAGUCUAGCUGAGUCUAAAUGCCAUCUGAUCCAUGAAAUGAUACAAGUUAAAUCAAAUUGAGCUCAAUGAUGACUGUUUUAGGUAUAUUUGGUAGUUUUCUCAUUAAAAUGAAACCAGCAAUUAAGUGAGCAGAAUAUAGGCUUUUUACCCCCUAUUUAGAGCAAGAUUCUUUGUUUGAUGAAUAUGACUUAUACUGUACUUUUUGGAAUUAUAGGUCUUAGGGGCUGCUAUUAAUGUGUAUGCUAAUAGACACAAAGAACGCCCUGAUCGUCUCAUAGACAUGCUCACCAGCAGUCACAGGUAAUUCUUUUGCUUGUUUCAAUAUUUCAUAGUUAUUACUUUUGCGUUUGUUCCAAGGAACAAUAGGUCAUACAUGGUAGCUAUUCAUUUAGGUUAGGCAACUUUGUUGGAUCCUCAGACAGGUGAACCAGUCAGCUAGGUAGUAUUCCAACUAUAAAAAAUUAUAAAAUGUGAAUGCUUUAUGGACUUCUACCUGGCAAUCCAAUCUUUUACAACUGAGUUAGUCAAUGCUGUAUUUUUUAAAUAGACUCAUGGAUGCUAUGCAUCUCCAACUAUUCCUGUUUCAUUCCUCCUUGCCUUCAAAAGAAUCAAGCCUGUUUGGCUUAUUCAUUUAAGUGAAUAAGUUGAAAAGUGUGAGGGCAACUUGAUACUAAACUCCCUCCAAGUUAGAUCCUUGGACCAAGUGUAUCAUUUAGGGAAUCCUUUCAAAGUGCUGCUUAAAAAUGCCAUAAGUUUUCUUGUCCCGAGUUUAUCAGGAUAAAUUCUGACUUAGUUGAUAGAUGGUUAUUUGAAUACUUAGAGUAUGUUCCUCACUUCUACGCUGCUGUUAUAUCCAUAUUUCUUUCUUGCAGCAAUUACUGAGCAAUAGAAGACUUUGAACUGGGGUAUUUAAUGGGACAAGGAUUCAUCUUUAGUUACUUUUCAGAAGAAAUUUAGCAUAUAUAUAUUUUGCAUUUUUCACUGCCAGUUUUGAUGAAUAUGUUAUAUAUUUUGCAUUAAGUAGUCUUUGAUUACAUUAUUUAUGUUUAUAUCAGUUUCUAAAACACCAUAUGAUGCUUUUAAUUCCUUUUUGUGUGUGCUUCUGUUCUUAACUCCUCUGUGCAGGAAAGUGCUGGCAUGUGUGGUUUGUGGUCGCCUAAAAAGUGCCUUCCAGAUUGCUUCUCGAAGUGGAAGUGUGGCUGAUGUCCAAUAUGUUGCACACCAGGUUGUCCCUUAUUCUCAGCUGUUUUCUAGUGUCACAAUUUUAUGAGUUAUAGUUCUUUGACAUUCUUCUGCUGAUUUUCCAGUGGUAUCAUGUGCCCUUUUCUUGUGGGCAAAAGACAAAAAAACAAGUCUAGCUCAAUGAACCCGUUAAUCUAAUCACCUAGUAGACUCACUCACAUAUCACCGACUGGAAUGGGGUCUAUAGUUCUCCUACUGGGUAACUGAAGACAUGAAAAUGCUUCCUUGAGUCCUUGACUGGAGACCUUAGUUUACUCAUGACACCACUGAGUUAAUUGAGGUUUUAUCUUUGCCCUGCUUCGGGUUAAAGCAAGGCAUAAGACCUCAACAAGUUAAUGCAUAAUGUGCCUCUGUGACCUGGAUUUAAUGAAAUAUUCCUCUGUCAAUCCCCAAUGAUCCUGUUUAAAAUGUAGAAUGAAACCUUUUGUUAUUAACGGUAUUGAUGAUGAGAGAUGUUCUUUGAAUACUUUUCAGGCGUUACAUACAAAUGCCCUCCCCGUGCUAGAUAUGUGUAAACAAUGGCUGUCUCAGUACAUGUAACUUGUUGCUGAAUAAACGUUCUGCUACAAAACAUUGACAUGGUUGCUAACUUCACGACUACAAGAACUUGAAUUCACAAAUUCAUGGCAUCACUUAAAAGGCGAUGGUUACAGAAGUCACUUGAUGCAAGCAGCUGACUUAGAAACCAGCGGCACUGGCGACUACUACAGGCAAUUUAAAUUGGUUUUUGUUGUAUAUAUUAUAAAAAAAAAACUUGUAUAUUUCACUUGGAUUGCCAUCCAUAGCACUUGUAGAUGGAAACUUUUUUAUAGUUAUGAUUCAUUGUGAAGUUGGUAUCUUAACUUGAAACUUCAAUCAUAAGACUGAAGCGCAAGCAGCUAAUCGAAGGUUUAAAAAGCAGAUAGCUUGUUGAAUUCAAUUUUAUUUUAUUGGUAUAUAUUAUAUUGUAUCAAAUUCCAGUAAAAAGUGAAGCAAAUUAGCCUAAAAAAGAAGCAGCAAGUACAUGGACUGAGACAAAACUGAUAGCUUUUAUUCCUUUAUUUAAGGGUAAAAUGUUUUAAAUUUUUUUAAUUUUUAGUUAUAAUUUUACAUGAAUUUAUUAAUUUUUAAAAUAAAUAAUUUAUCUCAAAAGAAUAUCUUUUACGUUAAGCACAUAAGUUUAAUUAUUAAUUAAUUAUUAAUAUUUUUGUUAGAUUAAUGACGUGAAAAUAUGAAAAAAAUAAUUUUAUUAUUUAUUAAUUUAAAAAAUAAUCAUACUAUAUAAAUUAAAAUUUUUUAUUUUAAAAACCUCUCCCUUACCUCUUGCUGCAAUCAGAGUGUCAGAUCCAGCUUUGGCUUGAGAGUG